This 301-nucleotide ribosomal RNA is filed under the name uncultured bacterium. Its description in RNAcentral is "partial 16S ribosomal RNA". It matches the Rfam family "Bacterial small subunit ribosomal RNA", at positions 509 to 807 of the family's 1533-position model. The record is from RNAcentral.
CAGUAGCCGCGGUAAUACGAAGGGGGCUAGCGUUGUUCGGAUUUACUGGGCGUAAAGCGCACGUAGGCGGAUGAUUAAGUCAGGGGUGAAAUCCCGAGGCUCAACCUCGGAACUGCCUUUGAUACUGGUCAUCUUGAGUCCGGGAGAGGUGAGUGGAACUGCGAGUGUAGAGGUGAAAUUCGUAGAUAUUCGCAAGAACACCAGUGGCGAAGGCGGCUCACUGGCCCGGUACUGACGCUGAGGUGCGAAAGCGUGGGGAGCAAACAGGAUUAGAUACCCCAGUAGUCCCUGUCUCUUAUAC